RNAcentral lists this ribosomal RNA (443 nucleotides) under uncultured bacterium. RNAcentral's name for it is "partial 16S ribosomal RNA". It matches the Rfam family "Bacterial small subunit ribosomal RNA", at positions 338 to 795 of the family's 1533-position model. The record is from RNAcentral.
CCUACGGGUGGCUGCAGUGGGGGAUAUUGGACAAUGGGGGAAACCCUGAUCCAGCGACGCCGCGUGAGUGAAGAAGUAUUUCGGUAUGUUAAGCUCUAUCAGCAGGGAAGAAAGAAAUGACGGUACCUGAGUAAGAAGCCCCGGCUAACUACGUGCCAGCAGCCGCGGGAAUACGUAGGGGGCAAGCGUCAUCCGGAAUUACUGGGUGUAAAGGGAGCGUAGACGGUAAUGCAAGUCUGGAGUGAAAGGCGGGGGCCCAACCCCCGGACUGCUCUGGAAACUGUGUAACUGGAGUGCAGGAGGGGCAGGCGGAAUUCCUAGUGUAGCAGUGAAAUGCGUAGAUAUUAGGAGGAACACCAGUGGCGAAGGCGGGCUGCUGGACUGUAACUGACGUUGAGGCUCGAAGGCGAGGGGAGCGAACGGGAUUAGAUACCCCAGUAGUC